This 24-nucleotide ribosomal RNA is filed under the name Gnetum montanum. Its description in RNAcentral is "partial 5.8S ribosomal RNA". The record is from RNAcentral. Lineage: Eukaryota; Viridiplantae; Streptophyta; Gnetopsida; Gnetales; Gnetaceae. RNAcentral also lists the same sequence under 1 other name.
ACCACGACUCUCGACAAUGGAUAU